ACGGGACCGCACAAGCGGUGGAUGAUGUGGAUUAAUUCGAUGCAACGCGAAAACCUUACCUACCCUUGACAUGUCCGGAAUCCCGAAGAGAUUUGGGAGUGCUCGCAAGAGAGCCGGAACACAGGUGCUGCAUGGCUGUCGUCAGCUCAUGUCGUGAGAUGUUGGGUUAAGUCCCGCAACGAGCGCAACCCUUGUCAUUAGUUGCCAUCAUUUGGUUGGGCACUCUAAUGAGACUGCCGGUGACAAACCGGAGGAAGGUGGGGAUGACGUCAAGUCCUCAUGGCCCUUAUGGGUAGGGCUUCACACGUCAUACAAUGGUCGGUACAGAGGGUUGCCAACCCGCGAGGGGGAGCUAAUCCCACAAAGCCGAUCGUAGUCCGGAUCGCAGUCUGCAACUCGACUGCGUGAAGUCGGAAUCGCUAGUAAUCGUGGAUCAGCAUGUCACGGUGAAUACGUUCCCGGGCCUU
Molecule: ribosomal RNA, 467 nt
Filed under: uncultured Rhodocyclaceae bacterium
Lineage: Bacteria; Pseudomonadati; Pseudomonadota; Betaproteobacteria; Rhodocyclales; Rhodocyclaceae
Description: bacterial SSU rRNA
Rfam family: Bacterial small subunit ribosomal RNA
Source: RNAcentral